This 800-nucleotide ribosomal RNA is filed under the name uncultured bacterium. RNAcentral describes it as "bacterial SSU rRNA". It matches the Rfam family "Bacterial small subunit ribosomal RNA", at positions 46 to 833 of the family's 1533-position model. The record is from RNAcentral.
GUUUAACACAUGCAAGUCGAGGGGAAACGACAUCGAAAGCUCGCUUUUGAUGGGCGUCGACCGGCGCACGGGUGAGUAACGCGUAUCCAACCUGCCCACCACUUGGGGAUAACCUUGCGAAAGUAAGACUAAUACCCAAUGAUAUCUCUAGAAGACAUCUGAAGGAGAUUAAAGAUUUAUCGGUGAUGGAUGGGGAUGCGUCUGAUUAGCUUGUUGGCGGGGUAACGGCCCACCAAGGCGACGAUCAGUAGGGGUUCUGAGAGGAAGGUCCCCCACAUUGGAACUGAGACACGGUCCAAACUCCUACGGGAGGCAGCAGUGAGGAAUAUUGGUCAAUGGACGAGAGUCUGAACCAGCCAAGUAGCGUGCAGGAUGACGGCCCUAUGGGUUGUAAACUGCUUUUAUAAGGGAAUAAAGUGAGUCUCGUGAGACUUUUUGCAUGUACCUUAUGAAUAAGGACCGGCUAAUUCCGUGCCAGCAGCCGCGGUAAUACGGAAGGUCCGGGCGUUAUCCGGAUUUAUUGGGUUUAAAGGGAGCGUAGGCCGGAGAUUAAGCGUGUUGUGAAAUGUAGACGCUCAACGUCUGCACUGCAGCGCGAACUGGUUUCCUUGAGUACGCACAAAGUGGGCGGAAUUCGUGGUGUAGCGGUGAAAUGCUUAGAUAUCACGAAGAACUCCGAUUGCGAAGGCAGCUCACUGGAGCGCAACUGACGCUGAAGCUCGAAAGUGCGGGUAUCGAACAGGAUUAGAUACCCUGGUAGUCCGCACGGUAAACGAUGGAUGCCCGCUGUUGGUCUGAAU